RNAcentral lists this long non-coding RNA (237 nucleotides) under Pandoravirus neocaledonia. Its description in RNAcentral is "hypothetical ncRNA". The record is from RNAcentral.
CUUGGCUGCGGGCGCAUCUCGGCCCCGGACGCGGUUGCGAAAAGGCUGGUCGUGGCCGUCGCCUGCAUUCUCGGUCCUUUCACCCCUUCCCUCUCGCUGUGUCUCGUCUCCUUUCUUUUUUCUCGCCCUCGCCGUGUGUCGCGUUCUUCUUUUUGGCCUGUCUCUCUCUUUUUUUUCUUGUUUUCGUCCUUUUGGCUCUCGCCGUGACUGCCGUUAUCCUUGUGGUCCCAAACCUCU